AUGGACGCGCUGAGGUUUCUGGGCGCCGUCCGGCCCGCCACGCCGCCGCAGCCCCCAGUGGCGCCGCCGCCGGCGCAGCGGCAGCAGCAGCAGACGCGCGCCGCCAUGCCGCGCCUGUGGCCGCGCGGCGAGAGGCGGGGCGCCGGCGCGAGCGGAGAGGUUCGCGGCGAUGAGGCGGGGACGAGGCCCGACGCGGAGGAGCGGAGGCAGGGCAAUCAGCAGACGCGCGCCGCCAUGCCGCGCCUGUGGCCGCGCGGCGAGAGGCCGGGCGCCGGCGCGAGCGGAGAGGUUCGCGGCGAGGAGGCUGGGACGAGGCCCAACGCGGAGGACCGGAGGCAGGGCAACUGGGUGCUGCAGAUGCUGCGGGUGCAACCAAGGUGGGCGGAUCAGGCGGACGCCGAGGCGGCCGGCGGUGGCCGGGGACGCGGAGGGCAGGAAGACGAGGCGCCGGACGUGUCCGGGGCCGAGAGGUGCGCGUCGUGCGACGGCGGGGACGACGAGGAAGGCUGCGCCGUCGGGGCGGACGAGGGCGGCGGCGAGGUGUUCGACCGCGCGUCCUUCUCGAGGCUCCUCCGGAAGGUGUCCAUCGAGGACGCCAAGGAGUACUCCAGGAUGUCCUACCUCUGCAACAUCGCCUACAUGAUCCCCAAAAUUCAGCCAAAAUGUCUCCGCCGGUACAGUUUACAGUUUGUGACAACAUCAGUGCAAGAGAAGGACAGAGCUAAUCCUGAUAGGAAGCAGGAGCAGAGCACUGAGAAAGGUGAAUCUCCAGAUAAAAAACCUCGAGUUGUCAAGAAUGCUGCCGCUGCGUUGGGCAGCAAGGAGGAAGAAGGAAAUGGCCUGGCGAUAAACCCUUUUGGUGCAUACCAAGUCAUGUCAUCUGCUGCCUCAUAUUUACAUUCCCGGGCCAUGGGCAUCAAUCCCUUUGGUUCCAGGACUAAUGGUAAGAAUGAUCCAACAACCAUCAUGGCCAUUGUGAGUGGUGAGAAUGGUGAAGGUUUAACCUUGGACGAAGCCUCAUUUGUGGCCACAACAAAUUCAGUAACUUCCAUGGUUGCUGCCAAGGAAGAAACAAGACAAGCUGUUGCAGAUGAUCUAAAUUCUUCAAGGUCAUGUCCCUCUGAAUGGUUUAUUUGCGAUGAUGAUCAAGGCAGCACAAGAUACUUCGUAGUUCAGGGCUCGGAGACGAUCGCUUCUUGGCAGGCCAACCUACUAUUUGAACCAGUCAAAUUUGAGGGACUCGAUGUACUUGUUCACAGGGGAAUAUACGAAGCUGCCAAAGGGAUGUAUCACCAAAUGCUGCCAUAUGUCAGAUCACACUUGAGAAAUUAUGGUAAAUCCGCAGAAUUACGAUUCACUGGCCAUUCUCUUGGUGGGAGUUUGGCUUUGCUUGUGAAUCUAAUGUUGCUGAUGAGAGGAGAGGCACCUGCUGCAUCAUUGUUGCCUGUUAUAACAUUCGGUGCCCCAUGCAUCAUGUGUGGCGGUGACCACUUACUCCGUAAACUCGGGCUGCCGAAGAGUCAUGUGCAAUCAAUCACAAUGCAUCGGGAUAUUGUUCCUCGAGUAUUUUCGUGCAAUUAUCCUGACCAUGUCGCCAACAUUCUGAAGCUCGCCAAUGGAAAUUUCCGCAGUCACCCAUGCCUUACAAACCAGAAACUCUUGUAUGCCCCAAUGGGGGAAGUCCUCAUCUUGCAGCCGGACAAGAGGCUGUCCCCGCACCACCACCUUCUCCCACAGGACAGUGGCAUCUACUACCUGGGCGAUUCGGCAGGCAUCUCCCUGAAACUGCUCCAAUCCGCCGUGUCAGCCUUCUUCAACUCCCCACACCCGUUGGAGAUCCUCAAGGACAGCGGCGCCUACGGCCCCAAGGGCACGGUGUACCGCGACCACGACGUGAACUCGUACCUGCGGUCGGUCCGCGGCGUGGUGCGCAAGGAGGUGCGGCGCCUCCGGGAGGCGGAGCGCGAGCGGUGGCAGCUCCUCCUGUGGUGGCCGCUGGCCGUGCACGGCGUGCUGGCCACCGGCAUUGGCGGCUGGGGCGAGCUGGCGGACGCGGUGGCGCGGGGAGGGAAGCAGGCGGCGAGGCAGGCCCAGCAGCACGCCCGGCUGCUGGCGCUGUUCCUGCUGCCGGUGAAGCUGCUCGUGCUCGGGGCUCUCCUGGCCGUUGGACUGAGGUGA
RNAcentral lists this ribosomal RNA (2178 nucleotides) under Triticum aestivum (bread wheat). Its description in RNAcentral is "partial small subunit ribosomal RNA". Lineage: Eukaryota; Viridiplantae; Streptophyta; Magnoliopsida; Poales; Poaceae. The record is from RNAcentral.